GGUUAGCUCAGUGGUAGAGUGCUUGCCUUGCAUGCAUGAGGCCCUGGGUUCGAUUCCUCAGCACCA
This 66-nucleotide transfer RNA is filed under the name Dipodomys ordii (Ord's kangaroo rat). It matches the Rfam family "tRNA". Rfam says of the family: Transfer RNA (tRNA) molecules are approximately 80 nucleotides in length. Their secondary structure includes four short double-helical elements and three loops (D, anti-codon, and T loops). The record is from Rfam by way of RNAcentral. Lineage: Eukaryota; Metazoa; Chordata; Mammalia; Rodentia; Heteromyidae.